Non-coding RNA from Taeniopygia guttata (zebra finch), 1266 nucleotides. The record is from RefSeq and is a predicted model, not a curated record. Lineage: Eukaryota; Metazoa; Chordata; Aves; Passeriformes; Estrildidae.
GUUUUUUUGUUUUUAUUUUUAAAGAGUAAACUAAGCAGAGAAUGUACAUUAAUAAUAGAUUAAUCAUGUUAACACAUACACAGAUCACAACAUGACAAAAAUAUAUAUUUGGGAAACUAAAAAUAUUUGUCUGUUAAAUGUUCUGCUUACUUAUGUAAAAUCCGAGUGUGGUGUAUUUGUUGUGUGUUUAUAUCUGUGUAUGUAUAGUUUACAUAACUAUACUUUUCCAUUUAAUAAAAUGUUAGGUCUUCAGACAUUGAGAUUUAAUUGAAUAUGUAAUCACUUGCAUCUCAGCAGGAACCAGAAAAAAUCCAGAGAUUUAACAUUGAAGUCAAGGAGAUAUUGAACACUUGAGAGUAUCAAAAAAUCAGUCAAGUAGGAACUUCAGAUGACUGUGAAUUGAGACAUUUCUGUGAUCAGAAAGAAAUAUCACUCUUAAAGAAAAGAGGCAUCAGAUGAUUCUUUAAGCUUUGCUUUUGAUGGCUUUCUAAAGCACUGUUUUGUAAUGGGGUUAGCUUGAAAUGUAUUUUAUGAGAAAAAAAAGAUAAUUAACAUAGAUAAAAGCUUAGAGAAGCUUAUGCUGCAACUGUUGAAACUGAGGAAACAAAUAUUUAGUCAUUCUCUAAGUUGGCCUAACAGAAUAGGAAGUACUACAUGGAAAAUUUAGUUGGUCUGGAAGAUAAUCAACAGUAUUUUAAUUACUCAGCAGUUCCUUUAAGAAAUUAUGGCAAUACAAUCAAAAAUUUGUAUGUGUUAAUUCCUUUGAAUUUCUCUGUGUUAAUUCCUUUUCCUGUUUUCAACUCCUUGUUUUCUUUUCAUAGUUGUGAUAUAUCUUGUCCACAGUUUUUUUUAGUAUUCCCGAAGCAUUUUCUACUUAAUGUCUUGGCAAAUCACCAUGGUGCUGACCAGUUUGGCUGUUCUCUGAAAUCUCAGCUCACACCAGAUGGUGAGCCUCAACUGCUGCUGUGAAACAGGACUGGAACCAAUGCAAGCACCAGUAGGCUGGAGAGAGCAGCAGAUAUAGAUUCAAGAGAUUGUGUGUUCAUCUGGCCUUUUCUCAGGUAAGAAAAAAGCUGUAAAACAGAAAUGAAAGCGUCUUUUGCUCCAGUUGUGAAGGAGAAAAAAAAAAUCUCAAGAGAAAAUGAAAUUAAGGCAAGGGCUUACAUUAUGCUAGUUUUUUAUAAAAUGUGUGUGUCUGGAAAUAGCUUGUGUUCUUCCCCUGCUACCAUCAUAAGGAGAGAUGAGAAGAAGAGGUUCCUCAUCUCU